Molecule: unclassified non-coding RNA, 445 nt
Filed under: Hevea brasiliensis (rubber tree)
Lineage: Eukaryota; Viridiplantae; Streptophyta; Magnoliopsida; Malpighiales; Euphorbiaceae
Source: RNAcentral
GUUAUUAAUCAUGUCCAAAACCUGUUAACACAUUACCAAGUAGUCAGCAUGAUAUAACCAAAGAAAAUGGGAAAGAAAACUUAACAAUUCAAUUCUACAGAUGGUGGCCAUGGAACUUCUCUAUUUAGCUCAAACCACAUUGAGUAACUUUAAUCACAAUAUUUUCCCCUCAUAUGGGUGUCCCAGGGGGCAUAAAUGAACUAAACUGAUCCAACUUUUCAAACGUUCAAACUCAACUCAGUUUGUUUCCUGCCAGGAUCAAACUUGGCUGCUUACUUAUGAAGCCAAGCCCAAACCCGGCUACCUGAAGCCAGCCAAGUGGAACUUUUAUAUAAAUUAUUGAGUUCAGCUCAUUAUUUGGCUAGUCUGUACCCUGUAGGCUUGUGAACUGUGAACUUGUGACCCAGCUUGUACAUAAAUUAAUUUAUAACUUGAUUUUAAAUUA